AUAUUUCAUACGCAAGAGGUUUUAGAUAUCCUUUUGUAUUCGUUUGAAAAGAAUAAUGGAUGGUACUUUAGGGGGUGUUAUUCGUUAAUGGAUUUUAAUAGAAUUGAAAUCCAAUACUAAUCCACUGUUAUUCAACUAAUGAUUCUAAAUCCAACUUUAAAAUCUAGUGUUAUUGGAACUCAUAUUUGUAAAUGAUGCUGAAUAGAUUUUAAAGUUUGGUGUUAUUCAAUUAAGAUUUUAAAUAUUUCAUUAAAAUCCAAUGUUAUUCAAAACUAAAAGACUUGUAAAAUCUUUAUAUAUUAAUUGAUUUGAAAUGAAACCUCUUUGGAGUUUCAUGAGUAAAUCAUUAGAAUCAAAAUCCAAAACAUAUUGCAGAGAUUUUGAAAUUCAUACAAACAUAUUCUUAAAAACAAUAUCAGAAAACAAAUCUAAAGCUUAAAGAAUUGACUUUAACUCCAUAAUUGAAUAACACCACCUUAGAAUCUUAAAUUAUACUAA
This 498-nucleotide small RNA is filed under the name Arabidopsis thaliana (thale cress). Its description in RNAcentral is "ATSL304020". The record is from RNAcentral. Lineage: Eukaryota; Viridiplantae; Streptophyta; Magnoliopsida; Brassicales; Brassicaceae.